GAGUUUGAUCCUGGCUCAGGAUGAACGCUAGCGGCAGGCCUAACACAUGCAAGUCGAGGGGUAACAGAGGUAGCUUGCUACUUGCUGACGACCGGCGCACGGGUGCGUAACGCGUAUACAAUCUACCUUGUACUGGGGGAUAGCCUUUAGAAAUGAAGAUUAACACCCCAUAGUAUGUAAAGUUCGCAUGGACAUUAUAUUAAAGGUUACGGUACAAGAUGAGUAUGCGUCCUAUUAGCUAGAUGGUGUGGUAACGGCACACCAUGGCAACGAUAGGUAGGGGCCCUGAGAGGGGGAUCCCCCACACUGGUACUGAGACACGGACCAGACUCCUACGGGAGGCAGCAGUGAGGAAUAUUGGACAAUGGAGGCAACUCUGAUCCAGCCAUGCCGCGUGCAGGAAGACUGCCCUAUGGGUUGUAAACUGCUUUUAUACAGGAAGAAACCGCUCUACGUGUAGAGCUCUGACGGUACUGUAAGAAUAAGGAUCGGCUAACUCCGUGCCAGCAGCCGCGGUAAUACGGAGGAUCCAAGCGUUAUCCGGAAUCAUUGGGUUUAAAGGGUCCGUAGGUGGAUAAUUAAGUCAGAGGUGAAAGUUUGCGGCUCAACCGUAAAAUUGCCUUUGAUACUGGUUAUCUUGAAUCAUUGUGAAGUGGUUAGAAUAUGUAGUGUAGCGGUGAAAUGCAUAGAUAUUACAUAGAAUACCAAUUGCGAAGGCAGAUCACUAACAAUGUAUUGACACUGAUGGACGAAAGCGUAGGUAGCGAACGGGAUUAGAUACCCCGGUAGUCUACGCCGUAAACGAUGGAUACUAGCUGUUGGACUUCGGUUCAGUGGCUAAGCGAAAGUGAUAAGUAUCCCACCUGGGGAGUACGCUCGCAAGAAUGAAACUCAAAGGAAUUGACGG
RNAcentral lists this ribosomal RNA (907 nucleotides) under uncultured bacterium. RNAcentral's name for it is "bacterial SSU rRNA". It matches the Rfam family "Bacterial small subunit ribosomal RNA", at positions 9 to 916 of the family's 1533-position model. The record is from RNAcentral.